RNAcentral lists this ribosomal RNA (758 nucleotides) under uncultured archaeon. RNAcentral describes it as "bacterial SSU rRNA". It matches the Rfam family "Archaeal small subunit ribosomal RNA", at positions 144 to 882 of the family's 1478-position model. The record is from RNAcentral.
GAAUAAUAUACGAUAGAUCAUAAUGCCUGGAAUGGUUUAUGAUUGAAAUGAUUUAUCGCCGUAGGAUGGGACUGCGGCCUAUCAGCUUGUUGGUGGGGUAAUGGCCCACCAAGGCUAUAACAGGUACGGGCUCUGAGAGGAGAAGCCCGGAGAUGGGUACUGAGACACGGACCCAGGCCCUAUGGGGCGCAGCAGGCGAGAAACCUUAGCAAUGUGCGAAAGCACGACUAGGUUAAUCCGAGUGAUUUCUGCUGAAGAAAUCUUUUGUCAGUUCUAAAAAUACCGAUGAAUAAGGGGUGGGCAAGUCUGGUGUCAGCCGCCGCGGUAAUACCAGCACCUCGAGUGGUCAGGAUGUUUAUUGGGCCUAAAGCAUCCGUAGCCGGCUUUACAAGUCUCCGGUUAAAUCCAGCUGCCUAACAGAUGGGCUGCCGGAGAUACUACAAAGCUAGGGAGCGGGAGAGGCAGACGGUAUUCGGUGGGUAGGGGUAAAAUCCUCUGAUCCAUUGAGGACCACCAGUGGCGAAGGCGGUCUGCCAGAACGCGUUCGACGGUGAGGGAUGAAAGCUGGGGGAGCAAACCCGGAUUAGAUACCCCGGGUAGUCCCCAGCUGUUAAACGAUGCAAACUCCGGUGAUGCAUUGGCCUUAUGGGCCAAUGCAGUGGCCGCAGGGGAAGCCCGUUUAAGUUUUGCCGCCCGGGGAAAGUACCGGUCCGCAAAGAAUUGAAAACUUUAAAGGGAAUUUGGGCGGGGGGAACCAC